Molecule: ribosomal RNA, 492 nt
Filed under: uncultured bacterium
Lineage: Bacteria
Description: partial 16S ribosomal RNA
Rfam family: Bacterial small subunit ribosomal RNA
Source: RNAcentral
AUUGAACGCUGGCGGCAUGCUUUACACAUGCAAGUCGAACGGUAACAGGCCUUCGGGUGCUGUCGAGUGGCGAACGGGUGAGUAAUGCAUCGGAACGUGCCCAGAGGUGGGGGAUAACGCAGCGAAAGCUGUGCUAAUACCGCAUGUGAUCUGAGGAUGAAAGCGGGGGACCAGGCAGCAAUGUUUGGCCUCGCGCCUUUGGAGCGGCCGAUGUCAGAUUAGGUAGUUGGUGGGGUAAAGGCCUACCAAGCCGACGAUCUGUAGCUGGUCUGAGAGGACGAGCAGGCACACUGGAACUGAGACACGGCCCAGAGUCCACCGGGAGGCAGCAGUGGGGAAUAUUGGAGAAAGGGGUGAAGCAUGAUGCAGCAAUGCCGCGUGCGGGAAGAAGGAAUUCGGGUUGUAAAACGCUUUUGUACGGAACGAAAAGGGUCUGGCGAAUACCUGGAGCUAGUGACGGUACCGGAAGAAUAAGCAACGGCUAACUACGUG